Molecule: long non-coding RNA, 805 nt
Filed under: Fukomys damarensis (Damara mole-rat)
Lineage: Eukaryota; Metazoa; Chordata; Mammalia; Rodentia; Bathyergidae
Description: lncRNA (ENSFDAG00000033433.1)
Source: RNAcentral
CAACGGACCCCUCUUUGCAGCCAAUGACAAGAUUUCACUGGGUGUAGGUUUUGCUUGAGUUUUGAUGCCUGUGGAAAACUCAGGCAAAUCUUCUGAAUCAUUACCAGGCCACAAAGAGUGGCGCCUGCAGAGCGAUGCCCGACAUGUCCCUGUGCACCCGAGGGCGCCAUCGAUUGAGGCCAUCAUUUACCAGGGCCGAAUAAAGUAAACGGGCUGGAAAGGAAGUGGUGACGAGCAACUGGAGGAUGAUUUAACAACACGUAGGAAACAAGGGAAAAUGAAGAAUACCAAAGUAUCUUCUUGUUUCCUGAAAGGAGGGCUGGAAUCACAAGACUGAUAACAAACACUGUUUCCCAAGAGACAGUUGGGUUGCUUUCACUUUCAAAAACAGAGGAAGAAGUGAGAGAAGGCUUUGCUGAGUAACUUGAUCAUUCUGAAGGUGGAAACCAACAUCCCGAGCUCCUUCUGCCUGUGCCCCAGGGCCAAGAUUCUCAGUUCAUCCUCUGCCUACCAACCAAGCCUAGGAGAAGUCCCUGUUCUGUCCCUUCAUCAUCCGACCCCUAUUCCCCAUGGGGUAAAGACUAGAGAAAUUCCUUGUAUUCCCUUGCCUUUAAUUUUGUUAUGCCCUAAAGCUGAGAACCAUUUGUUUGGUAAUUUACUGAUUCACAGACAGAAUUACCAGAGAAAUGUGUCCUGUUUUCUCUAUAAUGACUGAACAUGCAAUUAUAAUAAAUAUUUACUCUUACACCAAGGAAAUCUUUCUUGAAAAUAAGCUAUUUGCGUUUAUAAAUAUUAUGUAUUCUUU